GGAAAGAUGAAAAGCACUUUGUAAAGAGAGUUAAAAAGCACGUGAAAUUGUUAAAAGGGAAACGAUUGAAGUCAGUCGUGAGCCCGGGAUUCAGCCGGCCCUGCCGGUCUACUUCCCGGGCUUGGGUCAACAUCAGUUCCCGUCGGUGGAUAAAGGCUGUGGGAAUGUGGCUCCCCCGGGAGUGUUAUAGCCCGCUGUCGCAUACGCCGGUGGGGACUGAGGAAUGCAGCUCGCCUUCAUGGCCGGGGCUUCGGCCCACGUUCGAGCUUAGGAUGUUGGCAUAAUGGCUUUAAACGACCCGUCUUGUAACACGGACCAAGGAGUCUAACAUGUACGCGAGUCAUUGGGACUUGUAUGAAUUUUUUUUUAUACAAAAAUAACGAAGCCUAAAGGCGCAAUGAAAGUAAAGGCAC
This 413-nucleotide ribosomal RNA is filed under the name Chloropicon mariensis. Its description in RNAcentral is "partial Eukaryotic large subunit ribosomal RNA". It matches the Rfam family "Eukaryotic large subunit ribosomal RNA", at positions 358 to 734 of the family's 3401-position model. Lineage: Eukaryota; Viridiplantae; Chlorophyta; Chloropicophyceae; Chloropicales; Chloropicaceae. The record is from RNAcentral.